CCUACGGGAGGCAGCAGUGAGGAAUAUUGGUCAAUGGGCUUACGCCUGAACCAGCCAAGUCGCGUGAGGGAAGACUGCCCUAUGGGUUGUAAACCUCUUUUGUCAGGGAGCAACGCCGGCUACGUGUAGCCGGACUGAGAGUACCUGAAGAAAAAGCAUCGGCUAACUCCGUGCCAGCAGCCGCGGUAAUACGGAGGAUGCGAGCGAUAUCUGGAUGUAUUGGGUUGAAAUGGUGCGUAGGCGGAAUGCCAAGUCAGCGGUAAAAUCGCGGGGCUAACCCGCGCUCCGCCGUUGAAACUGGCGUUCUUGAGUGGGGGAGAGGUGUGCAGAAUGCGUGGUGUAGCGGUGAAAUGCAUAGAUAUCAGGAGGAAUACCGGUUGCGAAGGCAGCAUACCGGAGGCCAACUGACGCUGAGGUGCGAAAGCGUGGGUAGCGAACAGGAUUAGAUACCCUUGUAGUC
This 460-nucleotide ribosomal RNA is filed under the name uncultured bacterium. Its description in RNAcentral is "partial 16S ribosomal RNA". It matches the Rfam family "Bacterial small subunit ribosomal RNA", at positions 338 to 795 of the family's 1533-position model. The record is from RNAcentral.